AUGGACGGCAGACCGGUGACGGCGGAUGACGUGGUGGAGGCGAUGCGGGAGUUCGUCUGGUUGCGGCCGCCGCGCCCCUCCUCCGAGUUCUUCUCCCGCUUCAGUGCCCCGCGGUCUUGCUCCAAGUGGAUCAGCCGCCUCGAGUGCAACCUCUACUACUAUGGGACCAACUACUUCAUCUUGAUCAUAUUGAUAGGGAUGAGCUUCCUUCAGAAACCAGUUACCAUAAUUACAGCUUUUGCAACUGGCCUCAGCAUUGCAUUUAUCAGUGACAGUUUUGCAGUUACUUCCACCGACAAAGUUAUAAGCAUUGUCAGAAAAUUCUCACCGGAUUUAGCUGCCAAGAUGAGACCGUACAUGAACCCUUUCCUUCAUGGCCGACCAAGUAUAAAGGGAUCAACUCAUAUUUGUGGCCGACCUCUGUCUAUGUGGGUCAUUGCCCUGUUCCUUUUUGAAGUUAGCUGCAUUUUCUGGGCGAGCUCCUGCAAUUUCCUGAUAGUUCCGUGGGCACUAUACGUUGGUGUACUCGUAACCUUGAUUCAUGCCAGCUUCAGAGAACGUAAUCUGAAAGGUCGUUUCAACAGAUCCAGGAAGGAAUGUCGAGAAGCAUGGUAA
Molecule: ribosomal RNA, 615 nt
Filed under: Triticum aestivum (bread wheat)
Lineage: Eukaryota; Viridiplantae; Streptophyta; Magnoliopsida; Poales; Poaceae
Description: partial small subunit ribosomal RNA
Source: RNAcentral